RNA transcript from Alligator sinensis (Chinese alligator), 842 nucleotides. It is a transcript of the gene named DnaJ heat shock protein family (Hsp40) member C15, with no coding region annotated. The record is from RefSeq and is a predicted model, not a curated record. The transcript has 7 exons. NCBI's taxonomy places the organism in Eukaryota, Metazoa, Chordata, Crocodylia, Alligatoridae.
AACGCGGUGACGUAUCGGCGCGGGUGGGGGAGGGCAGCGCGCUUGCUCGCUCGUCCGCUCUCGUUUGUUUUGGUCCCUCCUCGGCUGCUAUCGGGCUUUUCGCGGCCCUGUCAUGGCGGAGGCCGGGGCCUCGUCCGAGAGGCUGCGCUAUGUUGAGUACAGCGGCAGGAGCCGCGCAGGCGAGCCCGACGUGGGCCGCGGGCUGGCUGGAACUAUGAUAGCAGUUGGCCUGGGUGUUGCAGCUGUUGCAUUUGCUGGUCGCUAUGCAUUUCAGCUCUGGAAACCACUGGAGCAAGUAAUCUCAGAAACAGCAAAGAAGAUUUCCACUUCUAGUCUUUCAUCCUACUAUAAAGGUGGAUUUGAACAGAAAAUGAGUAGGCGAGAAGCUAGUCUCAUUUUAGGCAUAAGUCCAUCUGCUAGCAAGGCCAAGAUUAGAACAGCUCACAGGAGAAUCAUGAUUCUGAAUCACCCUGAUAAAGGAAAAGAUUUCAACAUCUAAAGCAUCAAAAUUAAACUCACCUUGCCCCAGGGCCUGCUCCGGACCUCAGGACUCCUCUUGGGCUACAUCCAGCGACAGAAGGACAAGCAGGUGGAUCACCUUACUUAGCAGCAAAAAUAAACGAGGCCAAAGACUUGCUAGAAUCCAGCACCAAAAAUUGAUGCUCAAGGACUUCUGUGAUAGGAAAAAUGAAACCUUUUAUAUAUUCUUUUCUACAGGAAAUCCUGUGGAGAUAUUUUGGGACAACUAUCAGCCACUCAUUUUACACAAUUGUUUAACACUGGAUCAGAUGAUCUGUUAUUUAUCUUCAUAAUUAAAGAUCUAAGACUAUUUAAAAAGUGAA